AUUGAACGCUGGCGGCAGGCCUAACACAUGCAAGUCGAACGGUAACAGGAAGAAGCUUGCUUCUUUGCUGACGAGUGGCGGACGGGUGAGUAAUGUCUGGGAAACUGCCUGAUGGAGGGGGAUAACUACUGGAAACGGUAGCUAAUACCGCAUAACGUCGCAAGACCAAAGAGGGGGACCUUCGGGCCUCUUGCCAUCGGAUGUGCCCAGAUGGGAUUAGCUAGUAGGUGGGGUAACGGCUCACCUAGGCGACGAUCCCUAGCUGGUCUGAGAGGAUGACCAGCCACACUGGAACUGAGACACGGUCCAGACUCCUACGGGAGGCAGCAGUGGGGAAUAUUGCACAAUGGGCGCAAGCCUGAUGCAGCCAUGCCGCGUGUAUGAAGAAGGCCUUCGGGUUGUAAAGUACUUUCAGCGGGGAGGAAGGGAGUAAAGUUAAUACCUUUGCUCAUUGACGGUACCCGCAGAAGAAGCACCGGCUAACUCCGUG
Molecule: ribosomal RNA, 490 nt
Filed under: uncultured bacterium
Lineage: Bacteria
Description: partial 16S ribosomal RNA
Rfam family: Bacterial small subunit ribosomal RNA
Source: RNAcentral